This 72-nucleotide transfer RNA is filed under the name Ictidomys tridecemlineatus (thirteen-lined ground squirrel). Its description in RNAcentral is "Spermophilus tridecemlineatus (thirteen-lined ground squirrel) tRNA". It matches the Rfam family "tRNA". Rfam says of the family: Transfer RNA (tRNA) molecules are approximately 80 nucleotides in length. Their secondary structure includes four short double-helical elements and three loops (D, anti-codon, and T loops). Further hydrogen bonds mediate the characteristic L-shaped molecular structure. tRNAs have two regions of fundamental functional importance: the anti-codon, which is responsible for specific mRNA codon recognition, and the 3' end, to which the tRNAs corresponding amino acid is attached (by aminoacyl-tRNA synthetases). tRNAs cope with the degeneracy of the genetic code in two manners: having more than one tRNA (with a specific anti-codon) for a particular amino acid; and 'wobble' base-pairing, i.e. permitting non-standard base-pairing at the 3rd anti-codon position. Lineage: Eukaryota; Metazoa; Chordata; Mammalia; Rodentia; Sciuridae. The record is from Rfam by way of RNAcentral.
GGAGUUGUAGCUCAGUGAUAGAGCACUUACCUAGCAUGUAUGAGGUGCUGGGUUUGAUCCUCAGCAUCACAU